GAUGAACGCUGGCGGCGUGCCUAAUACAUGCAAGUCGAGCGAACAGACGAGGAGCUUGCUCCUCUGACGUUAGCGGCGGACGGGUGAGUAACACGUGGAUAACCUACCUAUAAGACUGGGAUAACUUCGGGAAACCGGAGCUAAUACCGGAUAAUAUAUUGAACCGCAUGGUUCAAUAGUGAAAGACGGUUUUGCUGUCACUUAUAGAUGGAUCCGCGCCGCAUUAGCUAGUUGGUAAGGUAACGGCUUACCAAGGCAACGAUGCGUAGCCGACCUGAGAGGGUGAUCGGCCACACUGGAGCUGAGACGCGGUCCAGACGCCUACGGGAGGCAGCAGUAGGGAAUCUUCCGCAGUGGGCGAAAGCCUGACGGAGCAACGCCGCGUGAGUGAUGAAGGUCUUCGGAUCGUAAAACUCUGUUAUUAGGGAAGAACAAAUGUGUAAGUAACUAUGCACGUCUUGACGGUACCUAAUCAGAAAGCCACGGCUAACUACGUG
RNAcentral lists this ribosomal RNA (497 nucleotides) under uncultured bacterium. Its description in RNAcentral is "partial 16S ribosomal RNA". It matches the Rfam family "Bacterial small subunit ribosomal RNA", at positions 28 to 507 of the family's 1533-position model. The record is from RNAcentral.